This 72-nucleotide transfer RNA is filed under the name Sphaerodactylus townsendi. RNAcentral describes it as "tRNA-Val". It matches the Rfam family "tRNA". From Rfam's summary of the family: Transfer RNA (tRNA) molecules are approximately 80 nucleotides in length. Their secondary structure includes four short double-helical elements and three loops (D, anti-codon, and T loops). Further hydrogen bonds mediate the characteristic L-shaped molecular structure. tRNAs have two regions of fundamental functional importance: the anti-codon, which is responsible for specific mRNA codon recognition, and the 3' end, to which the tRNAs corresponding amino acid is attached (by aminoacyl-tRNA synthetases). tRNAs cope with the degeneracy of the genetic code in two manners: having more than one tRNA (with a specific anti-codon) for a particular amino acid; and 'wobble' base-pairing, i.e. permitting non-standard base-pairing at the 3rd anti-codon position. Lineage: Eukaryota; Metazoa; Chordata; Lepidosauria; Squamata; Sphaerodactylidae. The record is from RNAcentral.
GGGGCUGUGGCUCACUGGCCGAGCAACUGCCCGACAUGCAGAAGGCCCCAGGUUCGAACCCGGGCAUCUCCG